This 443-nucleotide ribosomal RNA is filed under the name uncultured bacterium. Its description in RNAcentral is "bacterial SSU rRNA". It matches the Rfam family "Bacterial small subunit ribosomal RNA", at positions 17 to 507 of the family's 1533-position model. The record is from RNAcentral.
UCCUGGCUCAGAACGAACGCUGGCGGCAGGCCUAACACAUGCAAGUCGAACGCGUCCUUCGGGACGAGUGGCAGACGGGUGAGUAACGCGUGGGAAGUACCCCUUUGGUUCGGAACAACAGCGGGAAACUGCUGCUAAUACCGGAUAAGCCCUUCGGGGGAAAGAUUUAUCGCCAGAGGAUCGGCCCGCGUUAGAUUAGCUUGUUGGUGAGGUAAUGGCUCACCAAGGCUACGAUCUAUAGCUGGUCUGAGAAGAUGAUCAGCCACACUGGGACUGAGACACGGCCCAGACUCUUACGGGAGGCAGCAGUGGGGAAUCUUGGACAAUGGGCGAAAGCCUGAUCCAGCCAUGCCGCGUGAAUGAUGAAGGCCCUAGGGUUGUAAAAUUCUUUCGACGGGAAGAUAAUGACGGUACCCGUAGAAGAAGCUCCGGCUAACUUCGUG